Non-coding RNA from Oncorhynchus mykiss (rainbow trout), 1374 nucleotides. NCBI's taxonomy places the organism in Eukaryota, Metazoa, Chordata, Actinopteri, Salmoniformes, Salmonidae. The record is from RefSeq and is a predicted model, not a curated record.
GUUGGGGAAUGCCGCACUAGGCAGCGAUGCGUUCGGUGUGCAGUAUAUGUUCAACUCUUCGUUGCUUUAACGUGCGGUGGUACACAUGGAAGUACCCACACACAUUCCAACUAGCUAGCUUUUAUCUAGUUGAAAAGUGAAACAUUGACAGUGGUGAUGAGAGUGACACCAAAGAGGAAGUCGUCACUGAAGCCCACUCUGAGACCAACACGUCUGAUGCGGAGUCUGAGUCCUAGAGUUCAGAGUUCAGACCUAAGCAGCACAGCAUGGUGACCCUAUAUAACCAAUACACUCUGCUUCAUCAUGUAGGAUUUCAUAGUGGUCAUUAUUGUGUUCUGGUGAAUAGCAAAAUGUCUGUUAGAAUGUCCAUGAUGCACGCAGAAUGUAGAUAUAGUGUUUCCUUCUGUGUGAUUUGAAUAGUUUAUGCAAGAAGCCCAAUAUCAUUUGGUGACUGGCUUUGUCAAUAUUUAAGUGUGUGUGUGUGGAUGGGGGCAUGUGUUUUCAAGAAUUACUCAAGUUUAACGGAGAUGUCUGUCCUGAGGUUGCACAGGUGUUCGCAGCUACCACGCAGGUUACAGCUCCAGUAACACUGCUUUGCCGUGUGUCAGUUGGAACUGAUGUCACCACCAACACCUCUCGUCUGUCACUUUAUUCAUGAGUUUGUUUUCAUAGGCACCCUGAAGCAUCCUUAGCCCAGCUUACGGCCAUGGCUGUUUCACUUUGCCUCUUUGUGGUCCAGACCGAGAAACGCAACCUGAAAGAGGAGACUGGUAGCUACUCUCAACCGCCAGCAUCUCACCCCUGGGUCCUAUGAGAAACCUGAGACAGAAGCUGCUACAUCAAGUUGGGUAGUGAAACUUUUAUGAGGAUUCCACACUUGUCUGCACUAUGCUCUGUUUUACUCAGUGCCCAAAUAUGUGUUGAAACACAGGAGGUUAGAAAAUACUCUUCCUUACACCUACUCACAGGAAACCAACAGACAUGAAUGACUUUCCCUCUCCCUUUAUGUUUCUAUCAUAACAGUCACUUUGGCUUUGGAAACUCAAAAGAUGAUAACAUAUAUUUAUUUGUAUUGAUUUAUUUUCACCAAAGAAAACAAGUAAUAGACAGCAAUACAGAUAAAAACAAUGCAAUCUAAAAGCAAUAUGCAGGUGUGGUUGGAAGCCUGAAAUGAAAACCACACAUGGUAUCAACAAUAUCAAGUUGUCAAACUAUUGAUUGUUGCUGUAACCUGGAACACAGCCUGAUUAAAAACAUAAAAUCUUUAAAUGAAUUAGAUCAAAACUAUCACUACUGCCUCUUCGUUUUGAUGUGUCCAUAAACAAGUCCUAGAAUACCGGGAACCUUUGAUGCAGUGUUCUUGCGGUAUACUGU